CUCUCAGAAGAACACUGCAUCCAGGCCUCUGCGCUGGGCUCGGGCUGUCUCCUCUGCUCAAAAUAUUCUUCUCCUCUGGCCCCAUCUGUGGAACUUGUAAUCGUCCUUUGAGGUUCUUCAUCUCUGUGAAGCCAGUGGCCCUUCACAGGCUGAUUUCAUUUUUAACUCAUCUCUGGGUUUUUUUUUUUUACUGUGAGCACCUCAAAAGCAUGACCUAUGACUUAUCUUUAUAUAGCUUUUGUGCUUUAGCAAAAAACUGGCUCAAUAAAUGUUUGUUCUGGAGUCUGGAAGUCCUUGACGAAGGUGCCAGCUGAUUGGGCUCCUGGUGAGAACUCUCUUCCUGGCUUGCAGACAGCUGCCUUCUUGUUGCAGCCUUUCCUCUGCAGUGCAGGGGCCUAUGUGCAUGUCGGUUGGCUUAAGAAAAGAAGAUCCUAACAAUUAGAGCUGGCCGGUGAUGGAAUGGCAAGAAUUACCACGUGGUCUUCUCUGCUCUGAGCCUGAUCCAGCAGAGGCUGGGUGACCAUCUGUUAGAGCUGCUGCAGAGGGAGAUCAAUUUAGACAACUUCUGAGUCUCUUUCCA
Molecule: long non-coding RNA, 580 nt
Filed under: Equus asinus (donkey)
Lineage: Eukaryota; Metazoa; Chordata; Mammalia; Perissodactyla; Equidae
Description: lncRNA (ENSEASG00005034762.1)
Source: RNAcentral